UGGCCAGCACCUCUCUUUCAUGGGUAAGGAAGUUGAGGCUCAGACUGGCAAAGGGAACUUAUUCAAGGUUUUGCUGAAAAAGAGAAAACAGAAGUUAAUGGCAUUACCUCAGGCUGUAUAGCAAAGCUAUGAUUUGACUCUUGACUUCUGACUCUUGAGCUUCUGAUUCAUGCUUCUUCCAUCACAUCAGAGCUGCCGGAACCUUUACAGUGUUGUGGGGAUCAGACCAGCUUCCUGGAUAAAUGCACAGCAACUGCGAAGUUGUAAAGUGCUUGACUUACAUUGCCUGUUAGUUGGGAGUUGGGACUAAGUGGUCUAUAAGAGUGCUUUUAGCUCAAGAAUCUGUUUCUAGGAUUUUCCUUAAUUGCGGAAAUAAACAUUCCCCUCCUCCCCCGAAAUUGAUAACCAGGGUCCAGUGAGCUAAAAUCUUGUCAGAUUGGUAGUCACUCUUCCAAUUUGAGUGUCUUCACUCAACCUCCCAUGUUUGUUUUUAAAAUACAUUUAUAUUUUUUAAUGUAAAAGUGAUACAUGAAAGUGAUGCAUGGUUCUCAGAAAAUGUGAAGAAUACAGAAGAAUAAAAGGUAAAACAACAAAACCACCACCACAACAAAGUCCAUCAGUUUUAUUGUAGAACUAUAACCGGUAGUAGCAUUUCAUCUAUUUCCUCCUAAUCUUUAAAAACAAAAAAAACAAAAACGAGUUUGGGAUGUGAUUUUUCUCUUUCCCAAGUAUCCCCUUUCCUCAAUCUUAUGUUGAGGGUAAAUGAGAUAAAAAAAACAAUCGACAUCAUCAGCUUCAUUACAACUGACCUUUAAGGUGUUUAGUGCCAAAUACCUUACAUUUGAUUUUUCAUUUAGAGUUUGUAAUAGUUUGCUGUAUUUGCUUUAUUGCAUAUCUGCCCUCCCUUAAUCUAUUUAUUCAUCAAUCCAUCUUAUUUCGAAGCAUGUAUCAGUACCCUUCACCUUUAAACACUUCAGCAUUCAUAUAAUUAUUUGUUUAUAUAGAACACAGUCUUACUGUCUAUGACAUUGUUUGAUUAAUGUCUAUCUGCCCUAAGCUCCAAAGAAUCGUUUCUCUUUAAGGCAUUCUCCAAAGAGAAUAAGUUUUAACAUAGUAUCUUUUACCUUAAAAUAAACAAUAUCUUUCUUUUUUGGUCA
Long non-coding RNA from Myotis lucifugus (little brown bat), 1157 nucleotides. RefSeq lists it as uncharacterized. NCBI's taxonomy places the organism in Eukaryota, Metazoa, Chordata, Mammalia, Chiroptera, Vespertilionidae. The transcript is spliced from 2 exons. The record is from RefSeq and is a predicted model, not a curated record.